Molecule: ribosomal RNA, 250 nt
Filed under: uncultured prokaryote
Description: partial 16S ribosomal RNA
Rfam family: Bacterial small subunit ribosomal RNA
Source: RNAcentral
UACGUAGGGAGCGAGCGUUAUCCGGAUUUAUUGGGUGUAAAGGGUGCGUAGACGGGAAUGCAAGUUGGUUGUGAAAUCCCUCGGCUUAACUGAGGAACUGCAACCAAAACUGUAUUUCUUGAGUGCUGGAGAGGAAAGCGGAAUUCCUAGUGUAGCGGUGAAAUGCGUAGAUAUUAGGAGGAACACCAGUGGCGAAGGCGGCUUUCUGGACAGUAACUGACGUUGAGGCUCGAAGGCGUGGGGAGCAAAC